UACAUGUGGGGCAAGCGUUGUUCGGAAUUACUGGGCAUAAAGGGUGCGUAGGCGGCUUGUUAAGUCAGGGGUGAAAGUUUUCGGCCCAACCGGAAAAUUGCCUUUGAUACUGGCGAGCUCGAGUGCGUGAGGGGUAACCGGAACGAGUGGUGUAGCGGUGAAAUGCGUAGAUAUCACUCGGAAGCCAAAGGCGAAGGCAGGUUACUGGUACGCAACUGAUGCUGAGGCACGAAAGCGUGGGGGAGCAAACGGG
RNAcentral lists this ribosomal RNA (253 nucleotides) under uncultured bacterium. RNAcentral describes it as "partial 16S ribosomal RNA". It matches the Rfam family "Bacterial small subunit ribosomal RNA", at positions 524 to 776 of the family's 1533-position model. The record is from RNAcentral.